Molossus molossus (Pallas's mastiff bat) is the source of this 678-nucleotide long non-coding RNA. RefSeq lists it as uncharacterized. NCBI's taxonomy places the organism in Eukaryota, Metazoa, Chordata, Mammalia, Chiroptera, Molossidae. The transcript has 3 exons. The record is from RefSeq and is a predicted model, not a curated record.
GUCUGUGUAGACAGGGGGAGGCCGAGUCAGGCCCCGGUGCCCGGGCGUCCGCGGCCUCCCCCAGAGCUCCGCGUUGGGCCUUUCAGUUUCCCGCAUCUUUUCUGACCUUCCCAGAACCAGGCUGGGGCGAAGGGGAGCUGUCCCAGGCAGCAGCCCACCCUGGGCCAGGACCGGUGGCCGAAGUACUUGUGAUGGGUACUUCAGGUCACCUGUGUCCUCCCCAGACCCCUGGACAACAGAUCGUGCAGGCCUGGAGGAGGGGUGCUUGGCUGGUUUCGGUCCCUGUCGACCACAGCGUGUUGACAGUGACCAGUGGAGCCCACCCCGUCUGAAGACUGUGGAUGUGUCGGGAGCCACUGAACUGCUGUUGCGUCUGAGCUUGUGGAUGUGUUGGUGACUUUGAGCUUCACAGAGAAGGCAUCCCGGGUCCUCAGAGCAGUGCCCGCCUCCGCUUCAUGUCCCGGCUGGUAGAGUAGAUGCCUGAAGAGACCAGGAGUGACACCCAAGGGCACGUGCUCCGGAAAUGCCCCCAGGAGGACGGACCAGACUAGAGCCUGACGUGACACCACCCUCCCUGCCGUUCUACGCGUCGGACACCCCGGACUUCUCACAGUCCUCCAGUGUGCCUGCUCCGCCCACCACAGGGCCUUUGCGUGUGCCGCUCCGUCUGCCUGCAGU